This 482-nucleotide ribosomal RNA is filed under the name uncultured bacterium. Its description in RNAcentral is "partial 16S ribosomal RNA". It matches the Rfam family "Bacterial small subunit ribosomal RNA", at positions 30 to 507 of the family's 1533-position model. The record is from RNAcentral.
UGAACGCUGGCGGCAUGCUUUACACAUGCAAGUCGAACGGCAGCGCGGGCUUCGGCCUGGCGGCGAGUGGCGAACGGGGGAGUAAUGCAUCGGAACGUGCCCAGUAGUGGGGGAUAGCCCGGCGAAAGCCGGAUUAAUACCGCAUACGACCUGAGGGUGAAAGCGGGGGACCGAAAGGCCUCGCGCGAUUGGAGCGGCCGAUGUCGGAUUAGCUAGUUGGUGGGGUAAAGGCUUACCAAGGCGACGAUCCGUAGCUGGUCUGAGAGGACGACCAGCCACACUGGGACUGAGACACGGCCCAGACUCCUACGGGAGGCAGCAGUGGGGAAUUUUGGACAAUGGGGGCAACCCUGAUCCAGCCAUGCCGCGUGCGGGAAGAAGGCCUUCGGGUUGUAAACCGCUUUUGUUCGGGAAGAAAUCCUCUGGGCUAAUACCCCGGGGGGAUGACGGUACCGGAAGAAUAAGCACCGGCUAACUACGUG